UACAAUUUUCUCCUAAGGGAGAUUCCUUGUUACUAAGAUUUAUAAAGUGAGGGUAUUGUGAUGUCAUCUCUUACCAUUGUGCUGCUUUGUUGUUCUUGCAUUCCCAUCUUAAUGACCGCACAAGUUGAUAGACUCAAAGAAAAGGUGGAGAUAUGUAAAUUCAGUGGUUGAUGCCGGGAAGACGCAGCAGAUUUCUAAACUGGGAGGCAGUGAAGGGAGCAACCCAACAUUCAAACUAUUUGAAAGAAACCUUUCAUGUUUCAUCAGCCUGGCACUUUAAAACUGCCUCCCCCCCGAACCUGUCCUGAAAACUGGAAAAACUGGGUGUCUGACUGCAAUUUAUGGAGACAUUAGUAAUGAAAAGACAUUACAGAUCCCAUGACAUCUUUGUUUUUUGGUAGAUAGAAAUGUUAUUUUAUCCUCUAAAAUUAGAUCCAAAUACCGUUCUGGAGCCACGUGAGAAACUGCCAUUAAUAUCAAAAUUUCAAAAUAAUGUGAUUAUUUCUGAGCUUGUAAUCGAAAUCUGAAACUUCAAUGCAGUUUCAUUUUUAGACUAGCUCUCCUGUUUGAUAAUUGGUAUGUUGCCAUUAUCAAUAUUUUUAGCACUUUUAGUAUCCCUCACAUUGUGAAGCACUGUAGAAUGCAAUACAGCCUGGGGCCGGGUCCUGAGAGCUGCUGAAUGCUUGCAACCCCACUGAGGUCAGCACCUCUCUCAGGAUUUGACCCAUGACUUAAUUAAUCUCUGGGCUGAAUUUCAGUGAAAGGAUACUUUUGCAUUUUUCAUACACACAGAGCAAAAAUGCAUCAUUUCAGUCUGGAUGGCUCAUUUCAGCAUAUGGAAAAUAACAAAGAAAGAACGAAUAUCCCUCUACCAAUAAAGCUGGGUUCACUUAACUGCAGUGAGUCUGCCUGUAUAGGCCUUGAAUGGAGAGAAAAAAAAUAAGAUGCUUGAUCUUGAUUCAGAGUGUAUUUGCAUCUCAUGUCCUCCAGUGACAGCAGCCAGCCUUUGUGGAACCCCUGUUUAUCACCUAGUAAGUUAUGAUAGCACAGCUCAUCCUAUUCCAUCUCCCAGACAGUGGACUAUAUAUACAAUUAAAAGAA
Mauremys reevesii (Reeves's turtle) is the source of this 1101-nucleotide long non-coding RNA. RefSeq lists it as uncharacterized. The record is from RefSeq and is a predicted model, not a curated record. The transcript is spliced from 3 exons. NCBI's taxonomy places the organism in Eukaryota, Metazoa, Chordata, Testudines, Geoemydidae.